This is a long non-coding RNA of Herpailurus yagouaroundi (jaguarundi), 1408 nucleotides long. RefSeq lists it as uncharacterized. The record is from RefSeq and is a predicted model, not a curated record. The transcript is spliced from 5 exons. Lineage: Eukaryota; Metazoa; Chordata; Mammalia; Carnivora; Felidae.
CUGGCACCCACGGUGCUCCGGUUUCCAGAAAGAAUCACGAAUACCCUUCCUGUGCAGAUAAAGGAACAAUUGUACUACAGGAGAACUUACUGGAAAGUAAUGUGGGGUCACCAGGAAGGAAAAGGAAUUCACUCCUCAGUCACAGUCUUCAGUCUGGUUGGGAGUCACUCAGACUUGGAAAGGUGUACUCUGAUCCUUCUGAGGUCUUGGACUGCAUUAACCAACCUGGGGAUGCCCCGGAGACUUUAACUCGUUACCACCCCUUGCAAGUUCACCUCACCACACGCGGCUAUGUGAAGCCCCAAGCUAAGGCUGCCAGCAGCUGUAAGCAAUAUGGUCUGCGUCGUUGCUCAUGGCAGGAACUUUGAGCUGGGACACAGUUUCACUCCGUAGAUGUAUUUCUCCUCUGAGGGAAGCCUAACACCCGAGCUGACCUUGCCCCCUUCUGAAAGGGAGGACCAUAUCUCACAGUGGCAACAGGAGGCUGCAGGUGCCACUCCAUAAGCUGCAAAGGGAGAUUUUGGCCACAAGGAGGACCGAGCAGAGACCUGAAGAUGAAAACACGGGUCUCCAUGAAGAGUGUGCCCGCUUACACACCCUUGGGAGAAGGGAGAAGUAAGUCCGGAAGGAUCUUAGUGGGUGAAGGAAGAGAAGGCGAGCUUAGUGGGCCACCCUUCACAUGCAACUCAACACUGCCUGAACUUACAAGGCUGGUUAUCAAGACUGACAUUAAUUCAAAGGUCCCUUAGAAGCCACAUGCACUUCUAGCAAGACUGCCUUCUGCUCUGUUUCCAUGCCUGGAGGCAAUGGGGGCUGGCAGUGAGUUUUGGGAAGGAGGAGACCCUUCUAGCUUGCUUUCGGAAACCUCAGGAUGCCUGGAAGAGACAACCAACCUGUCAGGUCUUUGUGCCCACGCCCAUGCUCUGAUCUCUCCCUAUCAGUCAUCCUUCUUCCUCCUUUUCAGCAGCACUUUAUUUCAAGGAUCUAUUAGGAAGGAAGUAACAGAAGGAAGCUAACAUGUAUAGAACAUAUGCUGAUAUUAGAUUUUGUUCUCUCAUUUAUGCCUUCAACACAUCACCUGGUCCUGCCCUCUCAACCUUGACAGCAUCCCCAGAAUGUAGCUGCUGCUGCCCAACUCACACCACCUCCAGGCCAAGCCACUACCACCUCCCUCCUGGAUUAGUGCCUUAGCCUCCUUAAUGGACUCCCUGAUUCUGUCCUUGCCUUUGCAGUUUAAUCACAGCAUGAGAGCUAGGGUGAUUCUUUUACAACAGAACUCAGACCAUGUCUUGCCUUUGCUUAGGAUGUGCAGAAGGUCCAUCUCAUGCAGAGUAAAGCCUGAAACCCUUCUUUCCACUGGCUUACAAGACCCUACAUGAUUCUCAGCUGUCUGGACAGUCUGACCUUA